This 481-nucleotide ribosomal RNA is filed under the name uncultured bacterium. Its description in RNAcentral is "partial 16S ribosomal RNA". It matches the Rfam family "Bacterial small subunit ribosomal RNA", at positions 28 to 507 of the family's 1533-position model. The record is from RNAcentral.
GAUGAACGCUGGCGGCGUGCUCAACACAUGCAAGUCGAACGAAGCACUUUAUUUGAUUUCCUUCGGGACUGAUUAUUUUGUGACUGAGUGGCGGACGGGUGAGUAACGCGUGGGUAACCUGCCUUGUACAGGGGGAUAACAGUUGGAAACGGCUGCUAAUACCGCAUAAGCGCACGGCAUCGCAUGAUGCAGUGUGAAAAACUCCGGUGGUAUAAGAUGGACCCGCGUUGGAUUAGCUAGUUGGUGAGGUAACGGCCCACCAAGGCGACGAUCCAUAGCCGACCUGAGAGGGUGACCGGCCACAUUGGGACUGAGACACGGCCCAAACUCCUACGGGAGGCAGCAGUGGGGAAUAUUGCACAAUGGGCGAAAGCCUGAUGCAGCGACGCCGCGUGAGCGAAGAAGUAUUUCGGUAUGUAAAGCUCUAUCAGCAGGGAAGAUAAUGACGGUACCUGACUAAGAAGCACCGGCUAAAUACGUG